Leptopilina boulardi is the source of this 544-nucleotide long non-coding RNA. RefSeq lists it as uncharacterized. Lineage: Eukaryota; Metazoa; Arthropoda; Insecta; Hymenoptera; Figitidae. The transcript is spliced from 3 exons. The record is from RefSeq and is a predicted model, not a curated record.
UCUAUUCAAAAAUUUUCGUUACAUUUUCUUUCUAAAUUUUUAGUUUAUAUAUGUGACACGGAAAGUAAAAACCUACGAGUUGAAAUAAUUAAAUUUUACUUUUUAGCAGUUCUUAUAGUAAAUUCUUAACUAUACAUAACCUAGGUAUCUUUCCAUUAUCUUUAGACUUUGUCGCAAUUCCUUAAAAUUUUCGUGAUCCAGCGAUUCCUAAAUUAAGCGGUUGUAACGGUUGUAGAACACGAGGCCUCGACACAGGAUGACAUAAAAAAUGAAGCCGUUAAAGCCAAGUGAGGAAGAGUGUUGGUGACCAAAGUAAAAAGGGAGACAGAUUAUAUAGCAAAGCCGCGUGCUUCUUCUGGUUGGCGGAAGUGAGGCGUGCACCUUGUGGCAUAAUCAUCAGCCCAAUUCUCACAGGCAGACGCUCCCACACACAUACACUUACAUCGAUUUAUACAAACCCGUGCACCUUCAAAAACACAAGCCUUAUUAUAAUAGUCCUGCAAUUUUGCACUUUCACACACAUUUGGAGUUUCUUUUCCAUUUA